AUGACGAUCUUAUGUUGGAACUGCUGGAGACUUGGGCAAUCCCGGACAGUUCAGGAACUUGUGUGCUUAGUGCACACGUACAAGCCAAAAUUGGUUUUCCUCUCUGAAACCCGGCAAAGCAACUCCUACGUGAAUAAAUUGAAGUGGAGGCUAGGCCUCAAACACUGUAUCACGCAGCCUGGCACCGGAAAAGGUGCGGGCAUUGCACUCUUCUAUGAUGAAAGUAUUGAAGUAAUAAAGCUUGUCGUUGGCCCUAGGUAUAUCGAUGUCCUUGUGUGUUUAAAUUCUACUAGACUACAAUGGCGAGGUACUUUUGUCAAUGGGGAACCAAAGUCGCAUGAAAGACAUAAUAUGUGGAACCUUCUGUGGAGAAUUAAGGAUGUCUCAAAAGUUCCUUGGCUGAUGAUGGGUGAUUUUAACAAAGCUAUGUGGCAAACAGAGCACAUCUCAGCUUCCAAAAGUUCAGAAAGGCUUAUGCAGAACUUUAGGGAAGUCCUCUCAGAGUGCAAUCUCUUUGACCUUGGGUUCAGAGGCCCAGUUUGGACAUACAAUAACAAAGGGGCAGAAGAAUGUCCGCGCGAGAUUAGACAGAGGUGUGGCCUCGCCGGAGUGGUCCCAUUAUUUUCAUGGGGCAACGGUCGAGCACAUAUGCUCACCCCGGUCCAAUCAUCUACCCCUACUGCUGCGUUUUGGGAAGAGAAAAGAAUGGAGGCCUGUAAGGGAAGCAAACCGGAAAGUUUUCCGUUAUGA
RNAcentral lists this ribosomal RNA (750 nucleotides) under Triticum aestivum (bread wheat). Its description in RNAcentral is "partial small subunit ribosomal RNA". Lineage: Eukaryota; Viridiplantae; Streptophyta; Magnoliopsida; Poales; Poaceae. The record is from RNAcentral.